GCUGGGCUGCCCCUCUGCCAUGCUGAGCAGCACAGAAUGGCCAGCCCGGCUGCAGUGAGUGUGCUCUCUGGCUAAUGGUUCUUAUCCAGGAGAAGAGGGAGCCCAGGCCAGAGGAGCAUGCACGGUGAUCUCUGACCUGGACCUCUAGCCAGCCCCCAACAAAUGCGUCCACUGGGGUGCGAAGAACCGAGGAGGCCACGCAGCAGGCAGCCCAGAAGCGCUAAGGAGGAGCGAGAAUACCCAGCAGCUCCUCAGCAAAGUCGCAGGCCAGCAGUGAUCUGGUCCUCUCUUGGGAUUGGAAUCCGCAUUCAGCAGGCAGCUUGAACGCUUGGUCAUAGCAAACUUAUCAUAUUUUAUUAGCUGCUGAAUAUAUCGAGUUCCAGAGACCUAAUUCCGGUAGCCAGAAGGCUCUAGGGCUGCGGCGUGGGGGAGAGCCGCACACAAAACGCAAGAAAGAUCUGGGAAAACCAUGUCUAGAAAACUCUGAAAACCUGGCCAAGAGCCGCCAAGGAAAGGAAAGUAAGGCGAUCCCUGGGAUGCAUAAAGGUACUGGAUAUACAGGGCCCUGGGUUUAGGGAAUGAUGGAAAAGACCAAUUCAAGGAGCCAGUCCCUAGCCGGGCAAACACCGGGGCUAGUUAAGAGG
Pelodiscus sinensis (Chinese soft-shelled turtle) is the source of this 644-nucleotide non-coding RNA. Lineage: Eukaryota; Metazoa; Chordata; Testudines; Trionychidae. The record is from RefSeq and is a predicted model, not a curated record.